This 70-nucleotide non-coding RNA is filed under the name uncultured Prevotella sp. RNAcentral's name for it is "L13-Bacteroidia ribosomal protein leader". It matches the Rfam family "L13-Bacteroidia ribosomal protein leader", at positions 10 to 73 of the family's 73-position model. Lineage: Bacteria; Pseudomonadati; Bacteroidota; Bacteroidia; Bacteroidales; Prevotellaceae. The record is from RNAcentral.
UAGAGCUUCCGCAGCCGUGAGGUGUUAAUAGUCUGUCUCAUUUUGGCCGAGACACGACGGUUAGUGAAUC